This 97-nucleotide ribosomal RNA is filed under the name uncultured bacterium. Its description in RNAcentral is "partial 16S ribosomal RNA". It matches the Rfam family "Bacterial small subunit ribosomal RNA", at positions 1386 to 1482 of the family's 1533-position model. The record is from RNAcentral.
CACACCGCCCGUCACAUCACGAAAGCCGGCUGUACCGGAAGUCGCCGUGCCAACCGCAAGGAGGCAGGCGCCCAUGGUAUGGUCGGUGAUUGGGGUG